This 2632-nucleotide long non-coding RNA is filed under the name Homo sapiens (human). RNAcentral's name for it is "HSALNT0363851". Lineage: Eukaryota; Metazoa; Chordata; Mammalia; Primates; Hominidae. The record is from RNAcentral.
GGGCGGGGACCCUCGGAAGCCAGCUGGGUGGCGAUCGCUUGUCUGCCUUGGCAGGCCCCUUGUGCAGUCUUUUCCCGGCGUGAGCGUGCAGGGAUUGAAAAGGAAUGCUUUAUGGUUCAGCAGAGAGCCACCACGCAGGAUGCACUGGGACCUGAGAACCGUCGGGCAGUCCCACGAGCUCUUUCAUGACCAGCUCCAACCGACAAGUACACGCCCCUUCGCACUCCACUAGCUAGUAAGCUGAGCUACAAGGUGUGCCAGGCACCCAGGACGCCGAUUCACCGCUUCAGAGCCCUCUUUCUUCCAUUCACUUACCUGUCUAGUCAAACACCCAUCAGACCUUUGCCAGGUGUCCAGCCUGGGCACUACGUUUCAGAAAAUGAUGCACAUAGAAUCCCUAACUGAAAGGAGAUCGCAGCUCAUUUGGUACAAAGUGGCUGAUUCUUUGACUGGUGAGCCACUCCCCAGGCAGGCAUAGCAUCACAGAGUUUCUGAGAAGGUACACCCUGGAUGCAAAGCAGUGUUGCUGAAAGACUCCAUGCCAGGGGUAACGGCAGAGUCCCAAAACACAUGAAGCAAGAACUGACAGAACUGGAGGGAGACAUCAAUCAAUAACAACAGUUGGAGAAUUCAAUACCCUGCUCUGAAUAAUGGAUAGAACAAUUAGGCAGAAGACCAACAAAGAAAGAGGAUAUUUGAACAACGUGAUAAGCCAAUUUGACCUAAUAAAUAUCUUUAUCUGUGAAACACCCUAGCUUUUAGCCUGGGUAAGGAGCUGGAGAGAUGUGAAAAUGUGGAAAGCAAGCCUAAGUCGCAGUGUGGCCUAUGCCUGAGAGCCAUCUUCAGUGCCCCCUUGUGGCUGUAUCUGGGAACCACAGACAGAAUCAUGGAACUGACCAUCUUCAGUCUCAAAGUGCUGCCCUCACCACUACACCCAGGGGCAGGUGGUCUUCGGGGGAAAGGCGGUUCCAGUUCCUUCUCCCAAGGUAACAACUCCCAUCCCAAGGCAAUGUUCACAGAACCUAUCAGAGUCCCCCCUGCCCUAUGCACAGCUUAAGACCAGGGUGGUCUCAGCUCUGAUCAGGCCACUGAGGGCAUCUGUCUGAGAUUUGGGACCCAGUUAUUGUCCCUGUUCUUCUUAGGCAGAUGGCGGAGUUCCCCAGUACACAGAAGGUGCUCACUCUUCACAAAAAGCAGUGCUUGAGAAUAACAGCCUACCUUGGUGGAGUAGCUUCGUUAGGGCCAGGGCUUGACUUGAAGCCAGAGACUGAGGUUGCAGUCCAGCCUUGGGUCAGCCUCAGGCUGGGGCUGGGGUGAUGCUGAGACCCUCACCAGAAAAAAGGCCUUUACCCCAUCCGAAAGGAAAUGGCUAUCCUCUGACCUGAGCACUCUAGCCUGAGGCCUGCCUGGCGCUAGAAGCCAGCCUCUGUUGUCCCCUCCCAGCACUCCUCCCACUGCUCUGCCUUUCUGCCCACAUAGAAACUCUGGAGACACCAGCUCCCCACCCUUCCAAGCUAAGCCCCACUGCUGUCUCUGCCUCCUCCAUCUUUCAAACCGGCAAUGUUUUUCCAAUCAGGCCUCCCUAUCCUUCCCCUACUGCUCUGCCCUUCACUGCCUUCCUUUCCUGGCGACUCUCAGCCGCCCUUCAAGGCCCAGCUCAGGCGUUCUUUCCUCAGUGACGCACCCCCGGGCAGGCUGGGGCUUCUGGCACAGCUCUGGCCACCCUGCGUAUCUUCAGCUGUUCCCAAUGUUUGUCUCUGCUCCCAAGUAGCUCUCUCACAGUUUCUGGCACAGAGGAGUUGGCCCUGAGGGGGAUGAACAGCAAGGACAGGCAGGACAGUUCUGGCAGUAAGGAAGUUAGAACAAGGUCCUUUGGUCUCGGCUAGGAAGGGUUCCCAGGUGCUUAGUACUCACUGAACAGAAAGGAAUUAGAAAAGAGGUGGCAUCUUGUAAUCGCUAGGGUGACAGCAGGCCAGGCCUCUGCCUUUUUGGUAGAGCUGAGGCCAGGGGCAGGGAACACAGCUUGAGUGACCCAUAAGGAGCCUUCCAGCUCAGCCACCCAAGGGCCCCCCAGCUGGACAGGAGCCCUUUACCACAUGGUAGGCAUCAUGUCAAGUGGCUCCCAAUGACCCCUGCCCCCUGGCAUCCAUUCCCUGGUGUAAUCCCCUCCCGUCCAGUGGGAGCUGGACCGAGCAAUGUUCAUUUAAUGAACAGAAUAUGGCAAAAGUGACAGGAUAUCACUUCCCAGGUUAGGUUAUAAGGGCCUGGGACUUCCGUCUUGCUCGCACACUUCACUCCACUCACUGGCUCUUCUUGCUAAGUAAGCUGGUGUGCCGUGAGCUACCCCAUGGAAAGGCCCAUGUGGCAAGGAACUGAAAGUGGCCUCUGUCAACAGCCAGUGAGGAAGUCAAUCCUGCGAACAACUGCAGGAACGGCCUUGGGAGUGGAUCCUUCCUCAGCCCGGCUCCAAGACAACUGCAGCCCUGUGAGAAACCCUGAGUGGAGGACCAAGCCAAGCCUCAAAUCGUGACUUGGAACUGGGAGACAACAGAUGCUGUUGGAAGCCACUGAGCUCUGAAGUAGUUUGUUACACAGUGACAGGUAACUUACACACCAUGGCAGGGUCAUGUGG